CCUACGGGAGGCAGCAGUGAGGAAUAUUGGUCAAUGGGCGCAAGCCUGAACCAGCCAAGUCGCGUGAGGGAAGACGGCCCUAUGGGUUGUAAACCUCUUUAGUAAGGGAAGAAUAAUGACUACGUGUAUUCAGAUGCUCGUACCUUAUGAAUAAGCAUCGGCUAACUCCGUGCCAGCAGCCGCGGUACUACGGAGGAUGCGAGCGUUCUCCGGAUUUAUUGGGGUUAAAGGGUGCGUAGGCGGUAUGUUAAGUUAGUGGUAAAACGUCGGGGCUUCACCUUGAUUGGCCAUUAAAACUGGAGUACUAGAGUGCAGACGAGGUAGGCGGAAUAAGUUAAGUAGCGGUGAAAUGCUUAGAUAUAAGUUAGAACCCCGAUAGCGAAGGCAGCUUACCAGACUGUUACUGACGCUGAAGCACGAGAGCGUGGGUAGCGAACAGGAUUAGAUACCCGGGUAGUC
This 459-nucleotide ribosomal RNA is filed under the name uncultured bacterium. Its description in RNAcentral is "partial 16S ribosomal RNA". It matches the Rfam family "Bacterial small subunit ribosomal RNA", at positions 338 to 795 of the family's 1533-position model. The record is from RNAcentral.